GAUGAAGAACGCAGCGAAAUGCGAUACUUGGUGUGAAUUGCAGAAUCCCGUGAACCAUCGAGUCUUUGAACGCAAGUUGCGCCCGAAGCCACUAGGCCGAGGGCACGCCUGCCUGGGCGUCACACACCGUUGCCCCCCCAUCUACUCCUUCGGGAUUGCGGGGGGGCGGAUGAUGGCCUCCCGUGCGCCUAGCCGCGCGGUUGGCAUAAAUACCAAGUCCUCGGCGACGCACGCCACGACAAUCGGUGGUUGCGAAACCUCGGUUGCCCGUCGUGUGCGUUCGUCGCGCAUCGAGGGCUCGAAAAAAUGCUCGGCUCCGGCUGGGCUUUCAACGCGACCCCAGGUCAGGCGGGGUUACCCGCUGAAUUUAAGCAUAUCAAUAAGCGGAGGA
RNAcentral lists this unclassified non-coding RNA (391 nucleotides) under soil metagenome. Its description in RNAcentral is "partial contains 5.8S ribosomal RNA, internal transcribed spacer 2, and large subunit ribosomal RNA". The stretch from base 1 to 122 matches the Rfam family "5.8S ribosomal RNA", at positions 35 to 154 of the family's 154-position model. The record is from RNAcentral.